AGAGUUUGAUCCUGGCUCAGAACGAACGUUAGCGGCGCGCCUAACACAUGCAAGUCGCACGAGAAAGGGCUUCGGCCCCGGUAAAGUGGCGCACGGGUGAGUAACACGUGGGUAAUCUGCCCUCGAGCAGGGNGAUAACAUUCCGAAAGGAGUGCUAAUACCGCAUAAGACCACGAUCUCGAAAGAGAUUGAGGUAAAAGCUGGCCUCUAUACAUAAGCUAGCACUUGAGGAUGAGCCCGCGGCGCAUCAGGUAGUUGGUGAGGUAAUGGCUCACCAAGCCUAAGACGCGUAGCUGGUCUGAGAGGAUGAUCAGCCACACUGGAACUGAGACACGGUCCAGACUCCUACGGGAGGCAGCAGUGGGGAAUAUUGGACAAUGGGGGCAACCCUGAUCCAGCCACGCCGCGUGAGUGAUGAAGGCCUUCGGGUCGUAAAGCUCUGUGGGGAGAGACGAACGUCCCUGUGAAGAACAGGGGGUGACGGUAUCUCCUUAGCAAGCACCGGCUAACUUCGUGCCAGCAGCCGCGGUAAUACGAAGGGUGCAAACGUUGCUCGGAAUCAUUGGGCGUAAAGCGCACGUAGGCGGCUCUAUAAGUCGGAUGUGAAAUCCCUCGGCUCAACCGAGGACGUGCAUUCGAAACUGUGGAGCUUGAGUAUGGAAGAGGGUCGCAGAAUUCCCGGUGUAGAGGUGAAAUUCGUAGAU
This 704-nucleotide ribosomal RNA is filed under the name uncultured bacterium. RNAcentral's name for it is "bacterial SSU rRNA". It matches the Rfam family "Bacterial small subunit ribosomal RNA", at positions 8 to 695 of the family's 1533-position model. The record is from RNAcentral.